Molecule: ribosomal RNA, 269 nt
Filed under: uncultured prokaryote
Description: partial 16S ribosomal RNA
Rfam family: Bacterial small subunit ribosomal RNA
Source: RNAcentral
CACGUAGGAGGCAAGCGUUAUCCGGAUUUACUGGGCGUAAAGCGCGUGCAGGCGGUGCGGUAAGUUGGAUGUGAAAGCUCCCGGCUCAACUGGGAGAUGCCGUUCAAUACUGCCGGACUAGAGGACGGUAGAGGGAGGUGGAAUUCCAGGUGUAGUGGUGAAAUGCGUAGAUAUCUGGAGGAACACCAGUGGCGAAAGCGGCCUCCUAGGCCGUUCCUGACGCUAAGACGCGAAAGCAUGGGUAGCAAACGGGAUUAGAUACCCUAGUA